GGGACGCCGACUUCUGCUUCGCGGUGCCCCCGGCCAGAGCGACUCUCCGGAGGGCGCCCGCGGUGGAUGCGUGCGGGAAUCGCGGGGGGAAGCGCUGUGAUCAACCGCAUUCCGUGGACCCUAGUUGGGCAGCUUUGGAAGAAGUAGAAGGUGAUGUGGCAGAAUUGGAACUAAAACUUGAUAAGCUUGUGAAACUUUGUAUUGCAAUGAUUGAUACUGGAAAAGCCUUUUGUGUUGCAAAUAAACAGUUCAUGAAUGGGAUUCGAGACCUGGCUCAGUAUUCUAGUAAUGAUGCUGUCGUUGAGACAAGUUUGACCAAGUUUUCUGACAGUCUUCAAGAAAUGAUAAAUUUUCACACAAUUACCCAGUCUCAGGCAGUUCUUUAUAGCAGUGUGAGAAUGGACUAAUACUGUGGUCUUGGAUAACAUCUGGAAGAAUUCUCUGGAUUACCAGAUCCUGUUUGACCAAACUCAGAGAUCAAUUAAGGCACAGCUUCAGAACUUUGUUAAAGAAGAUCUUAGAAAAUUCAAAGAUGCCAAGAAGCAAUUCGAAAAAGUCAGU
This 561-nucleotide small RNA is filed under the name Pan troglodytes (chimpanzee). RNAcentral describes it as "processed transcript". Lineage: Eukaryota; Metazoa; Chordata; Mammalia; Primates; Hominidae. The record is from RNAcentral.